CAUGGCGGUCUGGUGGACACAACAGAUGAAUAAUAGGGGGGGGGGGGGGUGGAAAUCGAGGUAAAUCAAAGAAAAAUAAGAAUAAUGUAUUGCAAAUUUAGAGAGAGAAAAACAGAAUUUCCUUACAAAAUUUAGGGAAAUAAUCGCAAGUCUGAAGGACAAUAAGAACACAUCAGCAGAAGAUAGCAAUGGACAAUCAAGAACAUUCCAAACAAAAUGAAAAAAUAACUAAGAAAAAACUUCAAAUUCUAUUGAACGCAAUUCAAUGGGUUUACCAAACUAAUAACGAAAUUUAUGUGUGUUUAAUAUUCUUAGAUCCUCAGUAUUUUGCCUGAACCUUCUUUUCUCUUUGUAUUUUAAUUUUCCCCCCGAUGACCUGACUACCAUGCGUACGAAACAUCCACAAUGUUGUUGUCAGAACUAUUUUUGGUGGGCAAGACUUAGUUUGCAGUUGUUGAAUCGUGUUGUGUUUUAUAGUCUAUUGUGAAAUAAUGGCUAUGAAAUCAUUAAAAAGUGGGUUACUCCGUAGUUAAAUGG
RNAcentral lists this long non-coding RNA (537 nucleotides) under Brachypodium distachyon (stiff brome). Its description in RNAcentral is "long non-coding RNA (BDIS_LNC001660)". The record is from RNAcentral. Lineage: Eukaryota; Viridiplantae; Streptophyta; Magnoliopsida; Poales; Poaceae.